CAGACAUUUGUGUUUUAUCUAUUCAAGAUAACAUCAGGCUGCUGCUGAAAUGGACAAUAAAAAGCACACACACACACAUGCUUGCAAAUGCAGAAUGUGUAUUUUAUAAAAGUACAUAAUUAGGACGGAAAAGUUUGCACUCAUCUUAAAAUUAACUUUUCUUUUGCACGGCACAAAAACAGCCUGAGCAGUUAAAAGAGGAGAGAAGGAAGCCGGGAAGAACUACAGAAUAAAAGUGAAUGUAUUUCUUUUACAUUCUUAUAUUUACUUUCUAGAAUAUUUGUUAUGAUGUUUUAUAAUUGAUACUGUCUACUUUUUGAAAAAGGAACGCUUUUUACCAUUUACAUUUCUGCACCCUCAGGACUUGUGCCUCCCAUGAACAGGUUCCAUCAAGAUUAUGCAGUUUUGGCACAUUGUGUUCCGUGCAUAGUUCCAGCGGUGAAGAUCCGUGGCCCGGGGCCAGACAGGAACCAGGAUCUCAUCACAGGAGACGACUCCCCAGGCUGAAUUAAAGUACUCUUUAAAUUGUCUUUGUGAUUCUGUGAUUCUGUCGGCUAAAAGCUCUUCCAGGUCUCAGGUCCCACAUUGUUGCAUCACUUCUAUACAGUACGGUUGAGAGUUUUAACAGAGCAGAUUAAAACUCUGUUCACUCUAUCCAAGUUUUCAUCUAUUUAGGGGUUCUAUUUGUGUAUUACUGUGGAAACUAUGCAACCAUUCAAAUGCAUUUACCUUAAAUACAUGUUUAAAGUCUGCUAGCGACUGAUUCAAGGACAAGUGUUUUCCAGCAGUCACAGCUGCAGCAGACAUGGUUUGUAUUCCUGCUUCCAAGUUACUGUGUGUACUAACACAACAAAGCCCCAGGACAUGCGACACCAUCGUUACAAAUAAAGGAAGAUGUCUCUAUUACAUUAAAAGAUUGUAGAUAAGAUGAACACGUGUACACUCAAAAAACUGAUUCUUGGCCCUCAUAAACAUUAAACAAUAUUUUUAAGUAAAACUUAACUGAAAUAUAUAAAAUCUAAAGUGUAUUCAUUAAAACCACUUAAACACAAUGUAAAUAUGCUUCGUAUAACCUGAACAUAAACAAAUCAAGUAAACUGUACUUGAUUGGAUCACAGAAGGAGCAUCUGUGCGUGCAGGAAACACUUCACCACGUGACCUCUUGAGAGUGGACUUGUCAUUCUGACCGACAGAGCGACCGAGCGUGAAAAAGUUAUGAGGUACACCAUUCAAGCCAUAUCCACAAAGCAUCUUUCAUCCUGUGGCAACCUCUCAUUUUAGGUGGAGGAUGUCAAAUACACAGCCAACAUAACUAAGGUCGUCAGCAACAGAGGAGGAGCUGCUGGAAGGAAGAUCCGACUCCUCAUGGCUCCAACA
This is a long non-coding RNA of Pseudoliparis swirei, 1377 nucleotides long. RefSeq lists it as uncharacterized. Lineage: Eukaryota; Metazoa; Chordata; Actinopteri; Perciformes; Liparidae. The record is from RefSeq and is a predicted model, not a curated record. The transcript has 3 exons.